Molecule: long non-coding RNA, 831 nt
Filed under: Nicotiana tabacum (common tobacco)
Lineage: Eukaryota; Viridiplantae; Streptophyta; Magnoliopsida; Solanales; Solanaceae
Description: long non-coding RNA (NTAB_LNC017491)
Source: RNAcentral
UAAUAGCGAAAAUCAAGCACAUUUGAAAACCAAUUGGCGGAAUAUGGAAUCAUCAACCCCCAUGAUGUACCUAAACUCAAAUUACCAGCCCCUUCUUUCUAUGGAAAGCAAUAAAUUAAUCGAAAGAUAAUAAUAAAAGUCUAGUCGAAGGCCUGAUUCAUUGAAGAAUUUUGUCAAACACUUAUAGAGCAAAGCGAAACAGAAAAAUAAAAGAUGAUAUUAAAACUCAUCUUUAAAACAAAAUAUAAAACUUUAGAUUAUCUGUUCCAAUCUCAACAAUUAUACAAAAUUUUUAAUCAGAAAACGCAUAUACCAUAGGUAUUUCCUUUAAAAUAGACAAACCCAUUUCACCUAAAUUUUGUUCAAUCAUUUUCAACAUAACUUUUCUUAUUUUCCUAUCAAACAAAUUCUAUCUUUCAAGAAAAUUCAAAGGAUAUCAACAAAACCCCAUAUAUGCAAAUAAAUUGGAAAUUACAACAACAAAAAACCCAGUAUAUCCCACAAAUAAAUUGGGAAUUAACAAUGAAUACUUUUCCCAUAAUAAAGAUGUAAUAUAAGAAGGGUAAAGAUCGGACCUUUGUGCCACCAUCAAAAUAAUUGGGUCGACAAACUUAGCAUAAAUAAUUCAAAGGCAGCUUAGAUUCCCACACAAAAUCAGCAGAAGAAGCGUCCCUAAAACACGAUUUAGCAUUGAGAUUUUACAGAUCUCUUGGUGAUAAAACCUUGGGAGGAAAGUGACUGACCUUCGAUUAACCGGUGAUGUCGAAAGUAGCAGCAAAAUCGAUCAAUUUAAGAUAAAACGAAAUCUGAAGAUGAAGCAGAGAAAAAAAA